Molecule: ribosomal RNA, 279 nt
Filed under: uncultured bacterium
Lineage: Bacteria
Description: partial 16S ribosomal RNA
Rfam family: Bacterial small subunit ribosomal RNA
Source: RNAcentral
UGCCAGCAGCCGCGGUAAUACGGAGGGGGCUAGCGUUGUUCGGAAUUACUGGGCGUAAAGGGCGUGUAGGCGGUCUAUCGAGUCAGGCGUGAAAGCCCAGGGCUCAACCCUGGACGUGCAUUUGAAACAGCAAGACUUGAAUACUGGAGAGGAAAGCGGAAUUCCUGGUGUAGAGGUGAAAUUCGUAGAUAUCAGGAGGAACACCGAUGGCGAAGGCAGCUUUCUGGACAGAUAUUGACGCUGAGGCGCGAAGGCGUGGGUAGCGAACGGGAUUAGAUA